Molecule: ribosomal RNA, 482 nt
Filed under: uncultured bacterium
Lineage: Bacteria
Description: partial 16S ribosomal RNA
Rfam family: Bacterial small subunit ribosomal RNA
Source: RNAcentral
AUUGAACGCUGGCGGCAGGCCUAAUACAUGCAAGUCGAGCGGAUGAAGGGAGCUUGCUCCUGGAUUCAGCGGCGGACGGGUGAGUAAUGCCUAGGAAUCUGCCUGGUAGUGGGGGAUAACGUCCGGAAACGGGCGCUAAUACCGCAUACGUCCUGAGGGAGAAAGUGGGGGAUCUUCGGACCUCACGCUAUCAGAUGAGCCUAGGUCGGAUUAGCUAGUUGGUGGGGUAAAGGCCUACCAAGGCGACGAUCCGUAACUGGUCUGAGAGGAUGAUCAGUCAAACUGGAACUGAGACACGCUCCAAACUCAGAAGGAAGGCAGCAGGGGGGAAUAUUGGACAAUGGGCGAAAGCCUGAUCCAGCCAUGCCGCGUGUGUGAAGAAGAUCUUCGGAUUGUAAAGCACUUUAAGUUGGGAGGAAGGAAAGUAAGUUAAUACCUAGCUGUUUUGACGUUACCAAAAGAAUAAGCACCGGCGAACUUCG